Molecule: ribosomal RNA, 571 nt
Filed under: uncultured Bacilli bacterium
Lineage: Bacteria; Bacillati; Bacillota; Bacilli
Description: bacterial SSU rRNA
Rfam family: Bacterial small subunit ribosomal RNA
Source: RNAcentral
GGCGGCGUGCUAAUACAUGCAAGUCGAACGAGUUCUGAUUAUUGAAAGGUGCUUGCAUCUUGAUUUAAUUUUGAACGAGUGGCGGACGGGUGAGUAACACGUGGGUAACCUGCCCUUAAGUGGGGGAUAACAUUUGGAAACAGAUGCUAAUACCGCAUAAAUCCAAGAACCGCAUGGUUCUUGGCUGAAAGAUGGCGUAAGCUAUCGCUUUUGGAUGGACCCGCGGCGUAUUAGCUAGUUGGUGAGGUAACGGCUCACCAAGGCAAUGAUACGUAGCCGAACUGAGAGGUUGAUCGGCCACAUUGGGACUGAGACACGGCCCAAACUCCUACGGGAGGCAGCAGUAGGGAAUCUUCCACAAUGGACGCAAGUCUGAUGGAGCAACGCCGCGUGAGUGAAGAAGGCUUUCGGGUCGUAAAACUCUGUUGUUGGAGAAGAAUGGUCGGCAGAGUAACUGUUGUCGGCGUGACGGUAUCCAACCAGAAAGCCACGGCUAACUACGUGCCAGCAGCCGCGGUAAUACGUAGGUGGCAAGCGUUAUCCGGAUUUAUUGGGCGUAAAGCGAGCGCAG